Molecule: ribosomal RNA, 513 nt
Filed under: uncultured Gram-positive bacterium
Lineage: Bacteria
Description: bacterial SSU rRNA
Rfam family: Bacterial small subunit ribosomal RNA
Source: RNAcentral
AGAGUUUGAUCCUGGCUCAGGAUGAACGCUGGCGGCGUGCUUAACACAUGCAAGUCGAGCGAAGCACUUAAGUCUGAUUCUUCGGAUGAAGACUUUUGUGACUGAGCGGCGGACGGGUGAGUAACGCGUGGGUAACCUGCCUCAUACAGGGGGAUAACAGUUAGAAAUGACUGCUAAUACCGCAUAAGACCACGGUACCGCAUGGUACAGUGGUAAAAACUCCGGUGGUAUGAGAUGGACCCGCGUCUGAUUAGGUAGUUGGUGGGGUAACGGCCUACCAAGCCGACGAUCAGUAGCCGACCUGAGAGGGUGACCGGCCACAUUGGGACUGAGACACGGCCCAGACUCCUACGGGAGGCAGCAGUGGGGAAUAUUGCACAAUGGAGGAAACUCUGAUGCAGCGACGCCGCGUGAAGGAUGAAGUAUUUCGGUAUGUAAACUUCUAUCAGCAGGGAAGAAAAUGACGGUACCUGACUAAGAAGCCCCGGCUAACUACGUGCCAGCAGCCGCGGU